UACGUAGGGGGCUAGCGUUGUCCGGAAUCAUUGGGCGUAAAGAGCGUGUAGGCGGCCCGGUAAGUCCGCUGUGAAAGUCGGGGGCUCAACCCUCGAAUGCCGGUGGAUACUGUCGGGCUAGAGUGCGGAAGAGGCGAGUGGAAUUCCUGGUGUAGCGGUGAGAUGCGCAGAUAUCAGGAGGAACACCGGUGGCGAAGGCGGGUCUCUGGGCCGAUACUGACGCUGAGGAGCGAAAGCGUGGGGAGCGAACAGG
RNAcentral lists this ribosomal RNA (253 nucleotides) under uncultured bacterium. RNAcentral's name for it is "partial 16S ribosomal RNA". It matches the Rfam family "Bacterial small subunit ribosomal RNA", at positions 524 to 776 of the family's 1533-position model. The record is from RNAcentral.